This 253-nucleotide ribosomal RNA is filed under the name uncultured bacterium. Its description in RNAcentral is "partial 16S ribosomal RNA". It matches the Rfam family "Bacterial small subunit ribosomal RNA", at positions 524 to 776 of the family's 1533-position model. The record is from RNAcentral.
CACGUAGGAGGCGAGCGUUGUCCGGAAUCAUUGGGCGUAAAGAGCGCGCAGGCGGCUUGGCAAGUCGGGUGUGAAAUCCCGGGGCUCAACCCCGGGACUGCAUUCGAUACUGUCAGGCUAGAGGUAGGUAGGGGAGAUCGGAAUUCCUGGUGUAGCGGUGAAAUGCGCAGAUAUCAGGAGGAACACCAAUAGCGAAGGCAGCUCGCUGGGACGGUAUUGACGCUGAGGCGCGAAAGCGUGGGGAGCAAACAGG